Molecule: ribosomal RNA, 1414 nt
Filed under: Lactiplantibacillus plantarum
Lineage: Bacteria; Bacillati; Bacillota; Bacilli; Lactobacillales; Lactobacillaceae
Description: bacterial SSU rRNA
Rfam family: Bacterial small subunit ribosomal RNA
Source: RNAcentral
GCAAGUCGAACGAACUCUGGUAUUGAUUGGUGCUUGCAUCAUGAUUUACAUUUGAGUGAGUGGCGAACUGGUGAGUAACACGUGGGAAACCUGCCCAGAAGCGGGGGAUAACACCUGGAAACAGAUGCUAAUACCGCAUAACAACUUGGACCGCAUGGUCCGAGUUUGAAAGAUGGCUUCGGCUAUCACUUUUGGAUGGUCCCGCGGCGUAUUAGCUAGAUGGUGGGGUAACGGCUCACCAUGGCAAUGAUACGUAGCCGACCUGAGAGGGUAAUCGGCCACAUUGGGACUGAGACACGGCCCAAACUCCUACGGGAGGCAGCAGUAGGGAAUCUUCCACAAUGGACGAAAGUCUGAUGGAGCAACGCCGCGUGAGUGAAGAAGGGUUUCGGCUCGUAAAACUCUGUUGUUAAAGAAGAACAUAUCUGAGAGUAACUGUUCAGGUAUUGACGGUAUUUAACCAGAAAGCCACGGCUAACUACGUGCCAGCAGCCGCGGUAAUACGUAGGUGGCAAGCGUUGUCCGGAUUUAUUGGGCGUAAAGCGAGCGCAGGCGGUUUUUUAAGUCUGAUGUGAAAGCCUUCGGCUCAACCGAAGAAGUGCAUCGGAAACUGGGAAACUUGAGUGCAGAAGAGGACAGUGGAACUCCAUGUGUAGCGGUGAAAUGCGUAGAUAUAUGGAAGAACACCAGUGGCGAAGGCGGCUGUCUGGUCUGUAACUGACGCUGAGGCUCGAAAGUAUGGGUAGCAAACAGGAUUAGAUACCCUGGUAGUCCAUACCGUAAACGAUGAAUGCUAAGUGUUGGAGGGUUUCCGCCCUUCAGUGCUGCAGCUAACGCAUUAAGCAUUCCGCCUGGGGAGUACGGCCGCAAGGCUGAAACUCAAAGGAAUUGACGGGGGCCCGCACAAGCGGUGGAGCAUGUGGUUUAAUUCGAAGCUACGCGAAGAACCUUACCAGGUCUUGACAUACUAUGCAAAUCUAAGAGAUUAGACGUUCCCUUCGGGGACAUGGAUACAGGUGGUGCAUGGUUGUCGUCAGCUCGUGUCGUGAGAUGUUGGGUUAAGUCCCGCAACGAGCGCAACCCUUAUUAUCAGUUGCCAGCAUUAAGUUGGGCACUCUGGUGAGACUGCCGGUGACAAACCGGAGGAAGGUGGGGAUGACGUCAAAUCAUCAUGCCCCUUAUGACCUGGGCUACACACGUGCUACAAUGGAUGGUACAACGAGUUGCGAACUCGCGAGAGUAAGCUAAUCUCUUAAAGCCAUUCUCAGUUCGGAUUGUAGGCUGCAACUCGCCUACAUGAAGUCGGAAUCGCUAGUAAUCGCGGAUCAGCAUGCCGCGGUGAAUACGUUCCCGGGCCUUGUACACACCGCCCGUCACACCAUGAGAGUUUGUAACACCCAAAGUCGGUGGGGUA